UACACAUAAAAACUUGAAUUGUGGUUCAUAUAUGUACAUGAAACUUUGAUUUUGAUUCAGAUGUACAUUUAAAAAAAAGGAAUACAUACAUUUAUUUUUGUAUUGGAUUAAUAUAAUGGUUUGUGUAUGCAAUAUGUAAUACCCAAAUUUUUACCCUGCCUACAAUAAAACAAAGUCCAUUAUUUUUAAGCCCAAUUACAAGACAAAUUACAUGGCCCAAUUUCAAUUGGUGGCCCAGUUACAAACAUAGCCCGAAACAGAUGAAGAAACCCUAGGGUUUCUGAGUAAAGCUCCAGCCGCCGCAACCCCAAUCUUGGCCGAAUCUCCAUGGAUUCACCUGCAUAGCAAGAAAAACGAAAAUGGAAAGGGAAUCAACAAUAUUUGUAAAUCAAAUCAAGAACUGAUUUCUUUCCUUUUUAGAUUUAUUUCAUAUGGCUAUAAAAAAGCCAUAAACACACUGUAAAGAGGAUCCGAUUUCGAAAUAAAAAUAAAAAUAAAAACUACAACUUUCACAAUAUCAAGAGCAAAAAAUCGAAGUAAAGGUUGAUACUAGCAUUUCUAUUUUAUUUUUAUUAUAUUUAUUUAUUGUUAUUAUUUAUAUAAAUACAAAAAGGAAGGAAAAACCUGUUUACCAGCCUUAAUCGCCGCGGAUGGCCGAGGAAGUCGUCAUUGAGGAUUGACGACCGGAAGCCGAAAAGUUUCUAUACUUUUAGGGGCCUUUUUGUUAAUUUUUCAUGGGAUUUGAGCCUGGAUCUAGGCUCAGGGGUCAAGAAGGUUGAAAAGGAAAUUUUUUUUACUUUUUCCGGCCACCGUGGACGGUGGUGACGACGCCGGAGAUCGGCGGCCGGCGCGGUGGCUGAUGACCGGCCGAUGACCGUCUGAUGAUCGGCCCAUGGCCGGAGGACAGAAAGGUUGAGAGAGUUUUUUAAAAGGUUUUUUUGUUUUUUUUUUAAAAUGUUUUGAAAU
This 966-nucleotide long non-coding RNA is filed under the name Gossypium raimondii (Peruvian cotton). RNAcentral describes it as "long non-coding RNA (GRAI_LNC000956)". The record is from RNAcentral. Lineage: Eukaryota; Viridiplantae; Streptophyta; Magnoliopsida; Malvales; Malvaceae.